Molecule: long non-coding RNA, 1513 nt
Organism: Mustela erminea (ermine)
Lineage: Eukaryota; Metazoa; Chordata; Mammalia; Carnivora; Mustelidae
Exons: 3
Source: RefSeq, a predicted model, not a curated record
CUCUCGCAUUCCCCCAAACCUCUGCAAGAUCAUUUAAAAAAACCUUUUUUUUAAACCUCAAACUGCUCCGAAUGAUAAAGUCUAUUUGAAAAAAUUUUUUAAACAAAUUAAAACAAGCAGAUCCCGUAGACUCAGAAAUUGCACUUUUCGGGGAGAUUUCCCAGGAACGUGUUAAGGACGUGAAUAAAUAUUAAACUUUACAUCCUGGUAUCUUAUGGUUUCCUACAUCACCCCUACCAAAGUUUGAGAUUAACAUUGAUUUCGUUUCUGUUUACACCGGCCGGCUCAGUAAGAUUAGAAUCAUCCGUUUUGUUCACCUGUGUAUUCCUAGUACUUAGUACAUCCUAGUACCUAUGAGGGCACUUCAUGGGCCUCAAUAUUGGUCUAUGCACUUAGAAGAAUCUCAGACUUCAACACGAACUAUCACAGCCCCAAAUUAACUCCACAUAUUUUUUUGCCAUCAAGCUUGUUUCUUGAAGUCUCCGUCUCACCGAAUGGCCUGACCACCGACCCAGCCUCAGCUCUACAUCCUGCAUUUUUAAGAAGCUUGUGCUGGCGAGGAUUUCGCAAAUUUCGCGUUUGUAGAGGUCUCAGAAGCUGUCUCUCCUGAUGUCAACUAUCGACCUUAGUCACAGAAUUCAUCAGUAAUCUCUGAUGUUUCUACUGUUAAACAACAGCAAUUCGACUGAGUAACUUAGGAGGUGAAGUUGGUUUUGUGGAAUGAUUCAGGAAUCAGGCAGCAUCCCAUCUGACAAGUAGGAGUUCCAUCGAGCUGAAGAAAAGGAAAGGAACAUGCCAAACUGCCCAGCAGAGAAGGUGAGCCUGUGAACACAGAAGUGACAGCAUCAGACAUCAGACACCAUGACCCCAGCGAGAAAUGGAUUUGGGACUUGAAGAGACAGGACUCCUCACUGGAGGGACGGCAGGACUGAGCUGUUUGGAAAGUCUGCGGAUAACGCCUGCGUUGCCGUGGACGUGGUACCAGGCACCUUGGCAAGGGUCCUUCCCUGCGGACUCUGGCUCGAUGCUCUCGCCAACUCUGGGAGGUCAACGCAGCUAUCAUCGUCCUCGAUUUUACAAUCGAGAAAACCAGGGCACAGAGAGGGAAGGUGGCGUGUCUGGGGUCACCUAGGAAGUAGCAGAUCAAAGGAUUGAGCCCAGGACCGCUGGCUCCAGAAUCCGUACUCUUAACCACCCUGCUAGGCUCCCUCUCGGGUGAGGGAAACUCCCUAGGGACCCCCCCCCAGCUCGGGAUAUUAAGGGGGCUUUCCAGAAGUUUCCUAUCGGAAAGGGGUGUUGGGUGCGUUAGGGGUGAGAACCACUGACCUAGUUUGGGGUGUGUUCUUCUCUCCACCAUCUGCCCCCUGGGUGUCUGAGCCAGAACCGGGUGGGGGUCAGCUGUGUGGCAGGGGCAGGGGACUGAGCAGACGGGGUCGGCCAGGUGAGGCCCUCGGAUCCCCACUGGCCAUGAUCCCAAGGACUGUUUAUGCUCACACUCUGCCUCUUUGCUCCU